UCCCUGGUAACUCAAAUGGUAAAGAAACUGCCUGCAAGGCAGGAGACCUGGGUUCGAUCCUUGGCUUGGGAA
This 72-nucleotide transfer RNA is filed under the name Ovis aries (sheep). It matches the Rfam family "tRNA". From Rfam's summary of the family: Transfer RNA (tRNA) molecules are approximately 80 nucleotides in length. Their secondary structure includes four short double-helical elements and three loops (D, anti-codon, and T loops). Further hydrogen bonds mediate the characteristic L-shaped molecular structure. tRNAs have two regions of fundamental functional importance: the anti-codon, which is responsible for specific mRNA codon recognition, and the 3' end, to which the tRNAs corresponding amino acid is attached (by aminoacyl-tRNA synthetases). tRNAs cope with the degeneracy of the genetic code in two manners: having more than one tRNA (with a specific anti-codon) for a particular amino acid; and 'wobble' base-pairing, i.e. permitting non-standard base-pairing at the 3rd anti-codon position. Lineage: Eukaryota; Metazoa; Chordata; Mammalia; Artiodactyla; Bovidae. The record is from Rfam by way of RNAcentral.